This 491-nucleotide ribosomal RNA is filed under the name uncultured bacterium. RNAcentral describes it as "partial 16S ribosomal RNA". It matches the Rfam family "Bacterial small subunit ribosomal RNA", at positions 29 to 507 of the family's 1533-position model. The record is from RNAcentral.
AGUGAACGCUGGCGGUAGGCCUAACACAUGCAAGUCGAACGGCAGCACAGUAAGAGCUUGCUCUUACGGGUGGCGAGUGGCGGACGGGUGAGGAAUACAUCGGAAUCUACUUUUUCGUGGGGGAUAACGUAGGGAAACUUACGCUAAUACCGCAUACGACCUACGGGUAAAGCCAGGGGAUCUCCGGACUUUGGCGGAUGGAUGAGCCGAUGUCGGAUUAGCUAGUUGGCGGGGUAAAGGCCCGCCAAGGCGACGAUCCGUAGCUGGUCUGAGAGGAUGAUCAGCCACACUGGAACUGAGACACGGUCCAGACUCCUACGGGAGGCAGCAGUGGGGAAUAUUGGACAAUGGGCGCAAGCCUGAUCCAGCCAUACCGCGUGGGUGAAGAAGGCCUUCGGGUCGUAAAGCCCUUUUGUUGGGAAAGAAAAGCAGCAGGUUAAUACCCCGCUGUUCUGACGGUACCCAAAGAAUAAGCACCGGCUAACUUCGUG